GACGCCGCGUGCAGGAUGAAGGCCUUCGGGUCGUAAACUGCUGUCAUGAGGGAGCAACGACUCCAAUAUUAAUACUGUUGGGGAGUGAUAGUACCUCAAGAGGAAGCCACGGCUAACUCUGUGCCAGCAGCCGCGGUAAUACAGAGGCGGCGAGCGUUGUUCGGAUUUACUGGGCGUAAAGGGUGCGUAGGCGGUUCUGUGUGUCGGAUGUGAAAUCUCACGGCUUAACCGUGGAAUGGCAUUCGAAACUACAGGGCUGGAGUACAGGAGAGGAGAGCGGAAUUCUCGGUGUAGCGGUGAAAUGCGUAGAUAUCGAGAGGAACACCGGUGGCGAAGGCGGCUCUCUGGACUGAUACUGACGCUGAGGCACGAAAGCUGGGGGAGCAAACAGGAUUAGAUACCCUGGUAGUCCCAGCCCUAAACGGUGUGCACUUGGUGUGGGGAGGGUUGACCCUUUCCGCGCCGGAGCUAACGCGUUAAGUGCACCGCCUGGGGAGUACGGUCGCAAGAUUAAAACUCAAAGGAAUUGACGGGGGCCCGCACAAGCGGUGGAGCAUGUGGCUCAAUUCGAUGCAACGCGAAGACCUU
This 588-nucleotide ribosomal RNA is filed under the name uncultured Verrucomicrobiota bacterium. RNAcentral's name for it is "bacterial SSU rRNA". It matches the Rfam family "Bacterial small subunit ribosomal RNA", at positions 393 to 971 of the family's 1533-position model. Lineage: Bacteria; Pseudomonadati; Verrucomicrobiota. The record is from RNAcentral.